Molecule: small RNA, 60 nt
Filed under: Pan troglodytes (chimpanzee)
Lineage: Eukaryota; Metazoa; Chordata; Mammalia; Primates; Hominidae
Description: processed transcript
Source: RNAcentral
GAGGCCGUGUAGCGUCGCCGUUACUCCGAGGAGAUAUCAGUCGGUAGAGGAGAAGUCGAG